UAUUCCUAUCCCCAGAUCUCUGCCUGAGAGCCCCUUGAUUUCAGGAUUAUCAUAAUUCGGAGCAGGGGGGGGUCUACAUUUUUCAUUCCAAGGGAGGUUCCUGCCCUCCCUAGCAGACACCUGUCUCCCAAAACCGAGACAUUUCCAUGAGUAAAUUUUACAAAGUUUUCAAUAAAAUUCUUAUUGAUAAAUUUGACUCCAUUUCAUUUCUGACAAGCUGUUCCUAAAGAUCCCAUCAGGCUGUGUUAGACACUUUGGGCAAGGGAUUCCUUCCAAGCUGGGCCACUUGUGGGGGGGAUGGGGGCAGCCCCUCAGCUCUGGCUGCUCUUUGCCAGAUGCAGCCAUGGACGGCACACAAGAGCAGGACACCGCCCGUGGCCGCUUCCGCAGAGCAGCGCAGUUUCUUUACCAAUACAUCACCAGAAUUGGCAAGGAAGACACCAGUCCCAUGGACACUGAGGUCAAGGCAUCCUCAGAGGUCUUGGUAGAGCAGAGCAGCGCUGCCCAGCUGGAUAUGCUUGUAGAGACGGCUCUUUUCAAUCCAGAGCAAGUGCCCGCCGUGGUGAGGUACAUCCACCAGUGGCUCAUGGCCAAUGAGGCUGCUGAGCACAGGAUGGACUGGNNNNNNNNNNNNNNNNNNNNUCGGUGCACGCGACGGGUCAGGACGCGCCAGAGCGGUGCUGUGAGGAGCCCCCGCACAGCGCACUCCUUUGUGUCGGACCUGGAGCUUUUCUGAAGCACUGUUCCUACAGGUGACCUCGAGGCCAGACCACAGGUCUUGCUGACCUGUGGCCUUGCUGAGCCUUCCUUCUUAAGGUUCUCUUGAGGGCAGACCGUGGGACUUGGUGACCCGGAGCUUUUCCGAGGUGUCGCCCAUCCCUGCAGUCUCUGCCCUUGAGACCAGACCACAGUCCCUGUUGAGGAGCCUCCUGUCCUUGUGGCAGGAGCCCUCAAGACCCAAGUGCAGGACUCGCUGUCUUGCAAUCUUGCCAGGACUUGAGUCUUGCAGGUGCCUUCCAGGCACGACUGCAGGACUUGCUGACUCUGAGCUUUUCCGAGCCAUCUCUCCUGCAAGUAG
This 1078-nucleotide long non-coding RNA is filed under the name Cyanistes caeruleus (blue tit). RNAcentral describes it as "lncRNA (ENSCCEG00000004887.1)". The record is from RNAcentral. Lineage: Eukaryota; Metazoa; Chordata; Aves; Passeriformes; Paridae.